RNAcentral lists this long non-coding RNA (1251 nucleotides) under Gadus morhua (Atlantic cod). RNAcentral's name for it is "lncRNA (ENSGMOG00000033742.1)". Lineage: Eukaryota; Metazoa; Chordata; Actinopteri; Gadiformes; Gadidae. The record is from RNAcentral.
AUGAAGCGUGUUCUCUCAUCAACUCUGGAGAGGAAGGUCAAAGGUCGUGUGAGGUGUUGGGAGGUCACGGCAGUGAUAGGGCCUUCUCCUUUCUUAAAUAGAUUUGGAGAUUUGGAUGGGUCAUAUAGUUAUUCAGCAUUUCUUUUCAUGGCUUUGGAAAAAAGAGAUGGCUGCAGUGAAAGUCCAAUGCAGAGGGCAGGUUUAACUGACUUCAAGCUGCACUUGACAGAGUUCCCGCUUAAAUUAUUAUGGCUGAGUUCUGGGUUCAACUAUAGCUUUUGCUCCACCUAUCAGGUCUGGCAGUCUACGUCUCUAGUCUCUGACAUACCGAGGGGGCCAAGGCACUUUACAGAAGCAUCUUACUUAGAAGGGAGUGGCACAGGAUUCCUUGGAGGAGCUAUACACAGGUGGAUUUUACUCUAAAUUGGUAUUGAAGAAGUAAGAGUAUGAUUUUGUGUUGCUUAGUCAUUGUGGGUCUAUAGGAAAGCUGUAAAUAUCAGUUAUUUACCGAAACAUAUUUUACAUAAAAUUGUAAAAUGGAAAGCUUUGCUGGCGCGUAGCAUGGCUUCAUUAUUACUAUAAUCCACUUCAUCAGCUCAUAUGGUUGCUAUUCAUUUAAUUUUGUUACAAAUGGGAAAGACAAGGGGGGGAAGUUCCCCACACAUAGAAAUUACUUCAGAAAAUGACCUUUCCAGGAAUUUCUAUUGCAGAAAUUGAUGAUUGCCAACCGCCAGAAAUUGUGAAAGGGACUGGCAGCCCCACGUCAGAGGACUUCGCCUGCGCUGCUCUGUGUUUAGAAUUGCAUUAAAAGUUUGACCUUAUUUAAAAAUGCACUGCAUCCUCUCUUCCUUGAAUAAUACAUCCAUCUCACCAUCAUUCGCGGUGGAAUAAUAUGUUGCAUUUAUAAACAAAUAGAUAGAUUCCUGGAGGCCCUCACCAGCGAUCCUUCCAUCCUCAGUGCAACGCCUGCUUAUUGAGAGAGCCGAAAAAGGAGGCGAAUUGAUUCCACAAACGGCUGGUUUUUCUGAUAAGAAAUGAUAAAUAAAGUAGCGUGUUUUCCGGUAACCACAGUCGUAUCCCAGCAAGUUAACCUUUACCAGAGACCCCUUUAACAAGCAAACAAGUAAAGGUUCUUAUCAAAAUACCUCCUUCUCCUGCUCGGAUUUUAAGUCGGGAAGUAAUUUUGUUUCACUGCGAACUAUAAGAAAGGCUGGAAUUAAGCAUUCAAUUCAAUGAUCCCCUAUUGCUUAG